GAUGAAGAACGCAGCGAAAUGCGAUAAGUAAUGUGAAUUGCAGAAUUCAGUGAAUCAUCGAAUCUUUGAACGCACAUUGCGCCCCUUGGUAUUCCGAGGGGCAUGCCUGUUCGAGCGUCAUUAUAACCCCUCAAGCUCAGCUUGGUGUUGGGGCCUGCUGCACUGGCAGCCCUUAAAAUCAGUGGCGGCGCCAUCUGGCUCUAAGCGUAGUAAUUCUUCUCGCUAUGGAGUCCUGGUGGAUGCUUGCCAUCAACCCCCAAUUUUUCUAUGGUUGACCUCGGAUCAGGUAGGGAUACCCGCUGAACUUAAGCAUAUCAAGAAGCGGAGGA
Molecule: unclassified non-coding RNA, 329 nt
Filed under: soil metagenome
Description: partial contains 5.8S ribosomal RNA, internal transcribed spacer 2, and large subunit ribosomal RNA
Rfam family: 5.8S ribosomal RNA (bases 1-120)
Source: RNAcentral